Molecule: ribosomal RNA, 555 nt
Filed under: Agaricus bernardi
Lineage: Eukaryota; Fungi; Basidiomycota; Agaricomycetes; Agaricales; Agaricaceae
Description: LSU rRNA
Rfam family: Eukaryotic large subunit ribosomal RNA
Source: RNAcentral
AACAAGGAUUCCCCUAGUAACUGCGAGUGAAGCGGGAAAAGCUCAAAUUUAAAAUCUGGCAGUCUUUGGCUGUCCGAGUUGUAAUCUAGAGAAGUAAUGCCCGUGCUGGACCGUGUAUAAGUCUCCUGGGAUGGGGCGUCAUAGAGGGUGAGAAUCCCGUCUUUGACACGGAUUACCAGUGCAUUGUGGUAUGCUCUCAAAGAGUCGAGUUGUUUGGGAAUGCAGCUCAAAAUGGGUGGUAAAUUCCAUCUAAAGCUAAAUAUUGGCGAGAGACCGAUAGCGAACAAGUACCGUGAGGGAAAGAUGAAAAGAACUUUGGAAAGAGAGUUAAACAGUACGUGAAAUUGCUGAAAGGGAAACGCUUGAAGUCAGUCGCGUUGGCCAGGGAUCAGCCUUGCUUUUGCAUGGUGUACUUUCUGGUUGACGGGUCAGCAUCAAUUUUGACCACUGGAAAAGGCUCAAGGGAAUGUGGCAGCUUCGGCUGUGUUAUAGCCCUUGUUCACAUACAGUGGUUGGGAUUGAGGAACUCAGCACGCCGCAAGGCCGGGUUUCGAC